Molecule: non-coding RNA, 1858 nt
Organism: Rattus norvegicus (Norway rat)
Lineage: Eukaryota; Metazoa; Chordata; Mammalia; Rodentia; Muridae
Source: RefSeq, a predicted model, not a curated record
ACUAGAAGCACUUCUGUCACGUUAAUAUUAGUGGCAGACAAAAAAAUCACUAUUGGUGUCCAAAGCAUGUUGUUUACUUCGAGAUAGCAACACAAUAUUUGUACUUCCCUUCUUCGUUAGUACCUUUCUUCUUGACAAAAACAGUAAAGGUCAUGAGCUCUGGAAAACAAUUGUGCUCUUCACAAUACUUGGGUUUUGUAAUAAAGAAAUGAAUGAUAUAAACUAUUUGAAUUUUAGGAACCAUAAGAACAGGGAAGUUCCGAUGCUUCUAAGAGACUUGCAGCUCAUGAUUCCCAUAUGUGGAAGGUUCAAAAAAGGCUAUCUCUUUAGCGAUCCCACACAAAUCCUACCUUGGACUCACUAAGCUUUCCAAGGACCACAUAUGCCUUUCUUUUUUUUAAAAAAAAACAAGACAGAAAGCCAGCUUAUUCCCCUUCUCAUAUCUCUUCAUCUUCUUUUUUCUCACGCCCAAAUAACUGUUUACUCUGAAUUAGAGGCCAAUUAGUAAACCCUAGAGGUAAUGAAGGAACAUCUGAAGAUCAGUUGCAGUCACAGCAAUCCUUGUGACAUCACAGAAGAAGCUUUGGCUCUCAAGGAUACCAGAGAUUUUUCAUGAAUGAACUAAUGAUGAUGUCUCUAAGACCUGCCAUGGCCUAUCUGCUAAAGAGCUUUCCUUACAUUGACUAGAUUUGAGGGUGCCCUUUCCAGUUCAAGGUAAACUGGAGGUUCAAUUGGGAUGCAAUGAAGAGCCCCUGACAAGCAUAUUCUUCAAAGCCUCCCAUGGUGUAACUGAAGAUACGAUAUGUGAAGUAGCCCUAGCUUGCCUGCUCAAGGAGGGACAUCAGAAUGAUACCUUUUGCUCCAGUUGUUCUCAAAUUCACAUCUUCUGUCCAUGGGGUCUGUAAUGUCACCGUUUCAUAGAAGAACUUCAGUGUCUCUCCUUUUCCCUAUGGGAGCAUCAACACUCCACAUCUACUCACAAGUAUUUCACCUUUUUUCUCUGUAUAGUGGACAAGAGCACUUUCACCAAAGGCCCACAUUGGCCUGAAAUAUCUUCUUUUGCCCAAGGCGUACUCAUGCCUGCACUCUCUUGUGGCCAUCAUUAGCACUUCUUCUCUUGAUUUUGUGAGCCUGCUAUAUCCCAACUCUUUAGGAUUACAUACAAACUUAUUUCUGCUACAUGUAUUCUGAGACAUUCCUCCAUGGAAGAAAGGGGUGUUGAUCUUUUCUUGUCUGACAAAAGUCUUCAAAGCCCAAAGACAACUGCUGGAAUGAAAUGCAACCUAUAGGACUGAUGGAAGAAUUGCUACCUGGACUUUCAAAUGGCAUGAAAAUAUAUGGACAUUCUAAAUACUGAAAAAGAAUAGUAAGCUGAUCAAGCAAUACUGGAUCUUCCUCUGCUCCACGAGGUACUAACAUUUUCUCCAGAAUAAAAUGUUUUUUCUUAUAUUUUAGAAGUAGCCAGAGAUUUUAAACUUCUAACAAACCGGUAUACAAUAUCUCCUUUGCACAUUUUCUCAGAAUUCCCGAUGAUGUCCACGGUGCAAUAACAACUUUUUCCCAUGAAGUCUGGUAUAUUACCUUUUUGAUGACUGACACAACAGUCCUACUUCUAUGCAAGUUCCCUACCUCCACCAUCUUACUGAGUAAGAUUUAGACUUAUACAAUUAAGAGGACUCCAGAAGGCCAAGGAAUUACGACACAUUCCCCAUAUGCCAAAUCCAUUUCCUCUCUAAAAUUUCUAAGUUUAUUGUCCUGAGAAACACUGUUCUGACGAAGAGAUCUCAGAGAAAUCUGGACUGAGUUCUCAAACAAGAGUCUAAAAGCAAGCACAAAUCAGACUACUGUCUUCAUUGUG